This 432-nucleotide ribosomal RNA is filed under the name Aspergillus nomiae. RNAcentral describes it as "eukaryotic LSU rRNA". The record is from RNAcentral. Lineage: Eukaryota; Fungi; Ascomycota; Eurotiomycetes; Eurotiales; Aspergillaceae.
GUGGCCGCCGGCCACUUCAGGUUUCAGGAGCACCCUUCAUAAUAACACCAGAAAUUCAGUAUGAUAAAGUGAAGUAAAAAACAAUUGUAUACAAAUCAUUUAAAAGUUUCAGCAAUGGAUAUGAAGGUUCCAAAAUGGAAUAAGAACGCAGAGAAACAUGAUAAGUAAAUCGAAGAGUAGAAUUACGCGAAUCACAGAGUCUGGAACGCACAAGAGUACCCCUGGUAUUCCGGGGGGCCAAACCCACGAGUGUCAUUGGUGUACGUCAAGCACGUCGCAUGUGUUGGGUUAUUACACCCUGCACGGGGAAGAUGGGCGAUAAAGGCAGCGGCGGCACCGCGUCCGAUCCUCGAGGGUAUCGGGAUUUUCUCCCGGUUUGUAGCACCAAGUGAAGCACAAGAAAUCAACCGCUACUUCACAGGUAGACCUGAA